GCCCGGCUAGCUCAGUCAGUAGAUCAUGAGACUCUUAAUCUCAGGGUCGUGGGUUCACACCCCAUAUUGGGUG
Molecule: transfer RNA, 73 nt
Filed under: Pongo abelii (Sumatran orangutan)
Lineage: Eukaryota; Metazoa; Chordata; Mammalia; Primates; Hominidae
Rfam family: tRNA
About the family: Transfer RNA (tRNA) molecules are approximately 80 nucleotides in length. Their secondary structure includes four short double-helical elements and three loops (D, anti-codon, and T loops).
Source: Rfam by way of RNAcentral